This 491-nucleotide ribosomal RNA is filed under the name uncultured bacterium. RNAcentral's name for it is "partial 16S ribosomal RNA". It matches the Rfam family "Bacterial small subunit ribosomal RNA", at positions 28 to 507 of the family's 1533-position model. The record is from RNAcentral.
GAUGAACGCUGGCUACAGGCUUAACACAUGCAAGUCGAGGGGAAACGACGGGGAAGCUUGCUUCCCCGGGCGUCGACCGGCGCACGGGUGAGUAACGCGUAUCCAACCUGCCUCUGACUGAGGGAUAACCCGUCGAAAGUCGGCCUAAUACCUCAUGGCAUCGUCUGCGGGCAUCCAACGACGAUUAAAGAUUUCAUCGGUCAGAGAUGGGGAUGCGUCUGAUUAGCUUGUUGGCGGGGUAACGGCCCACCAAGGCGACGAUCAGUAGGGGUUCUGAGAGGAAGGUCCCCCACAUUGGAACUGAGACACGGUCCAAACUCCUACGGGAGGCAGCAGUGAGGAAGAUUGGUCAAUGGGCGAGAGCCUGAACCAGCCAAGUAGCGUGCAGGAGGACGGCCCUAGGGGUUGUAAACUGCUUUUAUGCGGGGAUAAAGUGAGGGACGUGUCCUUCAUUGCAGGUACCGCAUGAAUAAGGACCGGCUAAUUCCGUG